AAUUCAAGAUUCAAUUUCUUUGAUUUUGCCAUAUCAAAUGAAAGAUUUUUCAAUAAUUUAUUUUGAAACGAAGUGAUUUCUGGAAAAAUAGUCAUAGAUUGUACAGUUACAUAUAUAAUAUAUUUAAUAAAAAAUAUUUUAAUAAUUAAAACUAUAUGCUGUAAUCUUGCUUCUCAAAUGCAUUUGCAAGUGAACGUAUUUUAGUUGAUCUUGUUUAUAGUAAAUAACUAUUCCAUAUUAAUCUCUCAGAUUAAUAUAAAAUUGUAGAUCUAUAUCAUGGCUCAAUUCCGCCCAGCUGGACUUUCGGAUGACGAUUCAGAUAGCGACGACUAUGGAUUUUACGAAAAACCGUCAAGGGACUACUUUAUCCAGGAAAACCCAAAGAAGACUUUAGAAGUAAAACUACAAGAUGCUAUAAUAAAUGCAAAUAUUGAUGAAGUUGAAAACAUUGUCACAUAUGAUCUAAACAACAGAGUAAAUUUAAAGUUAGAUAGUGGAUGGACUCCUCUAAUGCAUGCCUGUUUCCAUGCCCAUGAUAAAAUUGUAGAUUUCUUAUUAGAACGAGGUGCUGAUCCAAAUCUUCAUGCAGAUUCAGUUACACCUAUAAUGGCUGUGUGUUCUAACAGUAGUGCCAACAAUGACACUAUAUAUCAUGUAAUAUGCAGCCUUAUUGAAAAUAAAUGUCUGCUCAAUGUUGGGGACAAAUAUGGUCAAACACCAUUGAUGAGAGCUAUUAGCAGUGGCAGAGUUGCAGUGGUUCAGAAACUCUUAGAUGAAGGUGUCAACAUAGAAAUGCGGGACCAGCAAGGUUGGACGGCAGUUUUUUGGGCAGCUCAUCAUAAUCAACCGGAAAUACUUGAACUGCUUAUAGCUCACAAGGCGAGGCUGACAGAAGUAGAUAAGUACAGUAGAACACCUAUUGAGAUCGCCAUGUCACAUGACUAUCAGAAUAUAGUCGAUAUAUUAAAUAAAUAUCUGAAGACAGAUGAGGAACUUGAAGAAACUAAAAGCAUUGUAAGUUUGAAUAGUCAAAUGCGGUCUUGGCACGAUUAUUAUCCGGGUGUCACCACAGAAGACAGAUUAACCUAUGUAUGUGAAAUUCCUCAUUUACUCUAUGGAAUGAGCUGUGAAAGUCUAGGCACCCUUAUUGAAAGCAGUGGUAUGAAUCUCCGCGAAUUUCUGUUGAUGGAAGAAGACAAAAUGAUAAAUUUAGGAAUAGAAAUGCCAUAUGAAAGACAAAGACUGAAAAUAGGUUUGAAAAAAUUCCAUUUAAGAGGAUGGAGAUUGAAUGCAGUUGCGGGCUUAUAUGCUAGAAAAUUUGAGAACUAUAGUGUAUUGGACUGUCUGACUGCACUAGGAACACAUAUGCAACAAGUUUACAUUUUGGAGGCAACCCUUCAAUAUGCUCUGCGCGAUUACAAUAGGAAUAAAAAUCAAAUAAAAUUUGAACCACCUGACUCGCCUCUCAUAUUGAGAAUGAAAACUGGCACGAAGAAACUGGUUUCUCAAAUAAAUAAUCUUAGAAGCGAAAUAAAAAAUAUGAAGGGUAUUCUUGUUAAGAAAUCUGACACUUUGCCAACAUUGAAACAGCUGAAUUAAGAAUGGAAAACAUAAUCAUUAGAAUUUUACGUUUUGAUUAAAUUUAGAAAUAUAAUGAUUAUUUUAAAAUAAAGAUCAUAUAAAUAUAAUGUAAAAAAACAGAAGGUUACAUAUCUUUUCUGGAGUGUCGAAAAAUGACACUUGUCAAUUCCAUACAAUUAUCAGGGAUGAGAUAAGCAAAGCCAACCCGCCGCCGGCUGACCUUAUUAAGGAGAAGCCCCUUUUUGAAGUGGCUCUCGGGUAUGUUACCGAUGUCCUGGUCAUCUGUUCCAUUGGAGCCCUCAUUUACCACUCGAGGAAUUAUCUGGCUCGCGUGACUAGCAAGUAGAUAGUUAUUCCAAUACAAUUUGUUGUUUCUUUUCAUUGA
Plodia interpunctella (Indianmeal moth) is the source of this 1966-nucleotide RNA transcript. It is a transcript of the gene named gasz, with no coding region annotated. The record is from RefSeq and is a predicted model, not a curated record. Lineage: Eukaryota; Metazoa; Arthropoda; Insecta; Lepidoptera; Pyralidae. The transcript is spliced from 9 exons.